This 301-nucleotide ribosomal RNA is filed under the name uncultured bacterium. RNAcentral describes it as "partial 16S ribosomal RNA". It matches the Rfam family "Bacterial small subunit ribosomal RNA", at positions 509 to 809 of the family's 1533-position model. The record is from RNAcentral.
CAGUAGCCGCGGUAAUACGUAGGGUGCGAGCGUUGUCCGGAAUUAUUGGGCGUAAAGAGCUUGUAGGCGGUCUGUCGCGUCUGCUGUGAAAACCCGAGGCUCAACCUCGGGUCUGCAGUGGGUACGGGCAGACUAGAGUGCGGUAGGGGAGAACGGAACUCCUGGUGUAGCGGUGGAAUGCGCAGAUAUCAGGAAGAACACCGAUGGCGAAGGCAGUUCUCUGGGCCGUAACUGACGCUGAGAAGCGAAAGCGUGGGGAGCGAACAGGAUUAGAUACCCCCGUAGUCCCUGUCUCUUAUAA